RNAcentral lists this ribosomal RNA (246 nucleotides) under uncultured Lactobacillus sp. Its description in RNAcentral is "partial 16S ribosomal RNA". It matches the Rfam family "Bacterial small subunit ribosomal RNA", at positions 116 to 355 of the family's 1533-position model. The record is from RNAcentral. Lineage: Bacteria; Bacillati; Bacillota; Bacilli; Lactobacillales; Lactobacillaceae.
CGUGGGUAACCUGCCCAAGAGAUCGGGAUAACACCUGGAAACAGAUGCUAAUACCGGAUAAUAACAGAUGAUGCCUAUCAACUGUUUAAAAGAUGGUUCUGCUAUCACUCUUGGAUGGACCUGCGGUGCAUUAGCUAGUUGGUAGGGUAACGGCCUACCAAGGCGAUGAUGCAUAGCCGAGUUGAGAGACUGAUCGGCCACAUUGGGACUGAGACACGGCCCAAACUCCUACGGGAGGCAGCAGCC